This 384-nucleotide ribosomal RNA is filed under the name uncultured Ehrlichia sp. Its description in RNAcentral is "bacterial SSU rRNA". It matches the Rfam family "Bacterial small subunit ribosomal RNA", at positions 66 to 480 of the family's 1533-position model. The record is from RNAcentral. Lineage: Bacteria; Pseudomonadati; Pseudomonadota; Alphaproteobacteria; Rickettsiales; Anaplasmataceae.
AUUAUUUAUAGCCUCUGGCUAUAGGAAAUUGUUAGUGGCAGACGGGUGAGUAAUGCGUAGGAAUCUACCUAGUAGUACGGAAUAGCCAUUAGAAAUGGUGGGUAAUACUGUAUAAUCCCCGAGGGGGAAAGAUUUAUCGCUAUUAGAUGAGCCUACGUUAGAUUAGCUAGUUGGUGAGGUAAUGGCUUACCAAGGCUAUGAUCUAUAGCUGGUCUGAGAGGACGAUCAGCCACACUGGAACUGAGAUACGGUCCAGACUCCUACGGGAGGCAGCAGUGGGGAAUAUUGGACAAUGGGCGAAAGCCUGAUCCAGCUAUGCCGCGUGAGUGAAGAAGGCCCUCGGGUUGUAAAACUCUUUCAAUAGGGAAGAUAAUGACGGUACCU